Molecule: ribosomal RNA, 530 nt
Filed under: uncultured Glomus
Lineage: Eukaryota; Fungi; Glomeromycota; Glomeromycetes; Glomerales; Glomeraceae
Description: SSU rRNA
Rfam family: Eukaryotic small subunit ribosomal RNA
Source: RNAcentral
GCCAGCAGCCGCGGUAAUUCCAGCUCAAUAGCGUAUAUUAAAGUUGUUGCAGUUAAAAGCUCGUAGUUGAAUUUCGGGGGUUAGUAGGUUGGUCAUGCCUCUGGUAUGUACUGAUCUCACUGAUUCCUCCUUUCUGAUGAACCGUAAUGCCAUUAAUUUGGUGUUGCGGGGAAUUUGGACUGUUACUUUGAAAAAAUUAGAGUGUUUAAAGCAAGCUAACGCUUGAAUACAUUAGCAUGGAAUAAUGAAAUAGGACGUUCGAUCCUAUUUUGUUGGGUUUCUAGGGAUUGACGUAAUGAUUAAUAGGGAUAUUGGGGGGCAUUAGGUAUUCAAUUGUCAGAGGUGAAAUUCUUGGAUUUAUUGAAGACUAAACUACUGCGAAAGCAUUUGCCAAGGAUGUUUUCAUUAAUCAAGAACGAAAGUUAGGGGGAUCGAAGACGAUCAGAUACCGUCGUAGUCUUAACCAUAAACUAUGCCGACUAGGGGAUCGGAUGAUGUUAAUUUUUUAAUGACUCAUUCGGCGCCUUACG